This is a non-coding RNA of Deltaproteobacteria bacterium, 72 nucleotides long. The record is from Rfam. Lineage: Bacteria; Pseudomonadati; Myxococcota; Myxococcia.
AGGCACGUAGCUCAGUGGGAGAGCGCUUCCUUGACGCGGAAGAGGCCGGCGGUUCAAUCCCGCCCGUGCCUA